ACUUAAAUAUCUUAAUAUUAAAGAAUAGUAUUGAAGAUACUGGGAUGAUUUAAUAAUCUUUAGGUA
RNAcentral lists this transfer RNA (66 nucleotides) under Phatnoma laciniatum. Its description in RNAcentral is "tRNA-Phe". The record is from RNAcentral. Lineage: Eukaryota; Metazoa; Arthropoda; Insecta; Hemiptera; Tingidae.